AUUGAACGCUGGCGGAAUGCUUUACACAUGCAAGUCGAACGGCAGCACGGGUGCUUGCACCUGGUGGCGAGUGGCGAACGGGUGAGUAAUGCACCGGAACGUAUCCAAUAAUGGGGGAUAACGCACCGAAAGGUGUGCUAAUACCGCAUACGCCCUGAGGGGGAAAGCGGGGGAUCGUAAGACCUCGCGUUAAUGGAGCGGCCGAUGCCGGAUUAGCUAGUUGGUGAGGUAAAGGCUCACCAAGGCGACGAUCCGUAGCUGGUCUGAGAGGACGACCAGCCACACUGGAACUGAGACACGGUCCAGACUCCUACGGGAGGCAGCAGUGGGGAAUUUUGGACAAUGGGCGCAAGCCUGAUCCAGCCAUGCCGCGUGAGUGAAGAAGGCCUCGG
This 392-nucleotide ribosomal RNA is filed under the name uncultured bacterium. RNAcentral describes it as "bacterial SSU rRNA". It matches the Rfam family "Bacterial small subunit ribosomal RNA", at positions 29 to 420 of the family's 1533-position model. The record is from RNAcentral.